This 338-nucleotide unclassified non-coding RNA is filed under the name soil metagenome. Its description in RNAcentral is "partial contains 5.8S ribosomal RNA, internal transcribed spacer 2, and large subunit ribosomal RNA". The stretch from base 1 to 120 matches the Rfam family "5.8S ribosomal RNA", at positions 35 to 154 of the family's 154-position model. The record is from RNAcentral.
GAUGAAGAACGUAGUGAAAUGCGAUAAGUAAUGUGAAUUGCAGAACUCAGUGAAUCAUCGAAUCUUUGAACGCACAUUGCGCCCGCCAGUAUUCUGGCGGGCAUGCCUGUUCGAGCGUCAUUUCAACCAUCAAGCCCCAGCGCUUGUGUUGGGGGCCUGCGGCUGCCGCAGCCCCCUAAAAGCAGUGGCGGGCUCGCUAUCACACCGAGUGCAGUAGUUCAUCUUCUCUCCGGUCUUGUGAGGCGGGUUCCGGCCGUGAAACACCCCACUACAUUCAAGGUUGACCUCGGAUCAGGUAGGAAUACCCGCUGAACUUAAGCAUAUCAAUAAGCGGAGGA